AACGAACGCUGGCGGCGUGGAUAAGACAUGCAAGUCGAACGAGAGAAUUGCUAGCUUGCUAAUAAUUCUCUAGUGGCGCACGGGUGAGUAACACGUGAGUAACCUGCCCCCGAGAGCGGGAUAGCCCUGGGAAACUGGGAUUAAUACCGCAUAGUAUCGAAAGAUUAAAGCAGCAAUGCGCUUGGGGAUGGGCUCGCGGCCUAUUAGUUAGUUGGUGAGGUAACGGCUCACCAAGGCGAUGACGGGUAGCCGGUCUGAGAGGAUGUCCGGCCACACUGGAACUGAGACACGGUCCAGACACCUACGGGUGGCAGCAGUCGAGAAUCAUUCACAAUGGGGGAAACCCUGAUGGUGUGACGCCGCGUGGGGGAAUGAAGGUCUUCGGAUUGUAAACCCCUGUCAUGUGGGAGCAAAUUAAAAAGAUAGUACCACAAGAGGAAGAGACGGCUAACUCUGUGCCAGCAGCCGCGGUAAUACAGAGGUCUCAAGCGUUGUUCGGAAUCACUGGGCGUAAAGCGUGCGUAGGCUGUUUCGUAAGUCGUGUGUGAAAGGCGCGGGCUCAACCCGCGGACGGCACAUGAUACUGCGAGACUAGAGUAAUGGAGGGGGAACCGGAAUUCUCGGUGUAGCAGUGAAAUGCGUAGAUAUCGAGAGGAACACUCGUGGCGAAGGCGGGUUCCUGGACAUUAACUGACGCUGAGGCACGAAGGCCAGGGGAGCGAAAGGGAUUAGAUACCCCUGUAGUCCUGGCAGUAAACGGUGCACGCUUGGUGUGCGGGGGAUCGACCCCCUGCGUGCCGGAGCUAACGCGUUAAGCGUGCCGCCUGGGGAGUACGGUCGCAAGAUUAAAACUCAAAGAAAUUGACGGGGACCCGCACAAGCGGUGGAGUAUGUGGCUUAAUUCGAUGCAACGCGAAGAACCUUACCUGGGCUUGACAUGUAAUGAACAACAUGUGAAAGCAUGCGACUCUUCGGAGGCGUUACACAGGUGCUGCAUGGCCGUCGUCAGCUCGUGUCGUGAGAUGUUUGGUUAAGUCCAGCAACGAGCGCAACCCCUGUUGCCAGUUACCAGCACGUGAAGGUGGGGACUCUGGCGAGACUGCCCAGAUCAACUGGGAGGAAGGUGGGGACGACGUCAGGUCAGUAUGGCCCUUAUGCCCAGGGCUGCACACGUACUACAAUGCCCAGUACAGAGGGGGCCGAAGCCGCGAGGCGGAGGAAAUCCUGAAAACUGGGCCCAGUUCGGACUGUAGGCUGCAACCCGCCUACACGAAGCCGGAAUCGCUAGUAAUGGCGCAUCAGCUACGGCGCCGUGAAUACGUUCCCGGGUCU
Molecule: ribosomal RNA, 1332 nt
Filed under: uncultured bacterium
Lineage: Bacteria
Description: bacterial SSU rRNA
Rfam family: Bacterial small subunit ribosomal RNA
Source: RNAcentral